CCCCCCUCAGGGUUGCAUCUGGAGAGCUUCCAGUACUCUACCAGUCUUGACUAUGGGAGGGAGAGUCAAGCAGAAGCAUUUCCACUCCAUUCCUAGCUUGGCCAGUGGCUAGCGAGUGGAAGGCGAUCUGCUACAAGU
Ornithorhynchus anatinus (platypus) is the source of this 138-nucleotide small nucleolar RNA. Lineage: Eukaryota; Metazoa; Chordata; Mammalia; Monotremata; Ornithorhynchidae. The record is from RefSeq and is a predicted model, not a curated record.